RNAcentral lists this transfer RNA (73 nucleotides) under Methylobacterium radiotolerans. Its description in RNAcentral is "tRNA-Gly". RNAcentral also lists the same sequence under 10 other names. Lineage: Bacteria; Pseudomonadati; Pseudomonadota; Alphaproteobacteria; Hyphomicrobiales; Methylobacteriaceae. The record is from RNAcentral.
GCGAAUGAAUUCAACGGUCUGCUUCAGCUUCCCAAGCUGAAUGUCGUCGGUUCGAUCCCGAUCGCCCGCUCCA